AACGAACGCUGGCGGCGUGCUUAACACAUGCAAGUCGAACGAGAAAGCGGGCUUCGGUCCGCUAGUAAAGUGGCAGACGGGUGAGUAACACGUGGGUAACCUGCCCGGAGGUGGGGGACAACCCUCCGAAAGGAGGGCUAAUACCGCAUGAUAUCCCUGAGGCUUCGGCCUUGAGGAUCAAAGCUAGCCUCUACAUGUAAGCUAGCUCCACCGGAGGGGCCCGCGGCCCAUUAGCUAGUUGGGAGGUAACGGCUCACCAAGGCGACGAUGGGUAGCCGGCCUGAGAGGGUGUUCGGCCACACUGGAACUGAGACACGGUCCAGACUCCUACGGGAGGCAGCAGUGAGGAAUCUUGCGCAAUGGGCGAAAGCCUGACGCAGCGACGCCGCGUGGAGGACGAAGGUCUUCGGAUCGUAAACUCCUGUCAAGUGGGACGAAGGCUGUUGGGAUGAAUAAGCCCAGCAGUUGACGGUA
RNAcentral lists this ribosomal RNA (474 nucleotides) under uncultured bacterium. Its description in RNAcentral is "bacterial SSU rRNA". It matches the Rfam family "Bacterial small subunit ribosomal RNA", at positions 29 to 477 of the family's 1533-position model. The record is from RNAcentral.